CUUCGCCCAUCCACGCGCAAAGACUUCGCUCCUCUGUACUGCCGCCGCGCCGCCGCAUCCUCGCCGGAGCCGCCUUCUUCUCCGUCCGCCGCCGGAGCCGAGGUCCCCUUCCGGCACCGCCGCCGCUGCCCACGCCGACCUCUUCUCCUGCCGCCGCCGGAUCCUACCAUCUGCCAUGGCCGGCCCCAUCCGCCGCGGCCAGCGCCAAGGGCGGCCCCUUCCGCCGCCGCCGCCGCCGCCGCCACCACCAUCGCCAUCGUGCACUCACCGCUGGCGAGCCGACGUCCUCCCCAUCCGCCGCCGCCGAUGGAGCCGAGGUCGUCCCCAGCCACCGUUGCCGCUGUGCACUCCACCGCUGGCGAGCCGACGUCCUCCCCAUCAGCCGCCGCCGAUGGAGCCGAGGUUGUCCCCAGCCGUCGCCGCUGCCGUGCACUCCACCGCUGGCGAGAGCCGCCGAACUCCACCGCUGUCACAGGAUUGGUGAUGGCUAGGCUGAGCUCGCUCGCAGAUGGAUUCGCAUACUAUGACAAAUAUUCCAAGAGCAUCCACCAAUGGAGGACGCAUAUAUGGUGGCAGAAAGAAUUCUAUUUAGAAAGAACAAUGAUCGCUACAAUGAACACUAUGGCAAGGUACGGCAACAAGUAUGGCAACGACUCUGUCCCUCCUGUGAAUCCAUCGGCUAACCCCAAUCUGGAGCUCUGCAAAGCAUUUCCAUUUCUCAGCGUUUCUUGUUUACCACUUUACCAAUAUAUAAUUUUCAAGUUUCAGAAGCUUCUUGAGAUAUUAUUGAGAUAUUAUUGUGAGUUUUACCGGCAUGUUCAUACGAUGGAGAGGAUAGUGCUUCAUUCUACAAAUUCAGAGCAUGAAUUAGCAAAGCUGAUCAAGAGCACACUAGUUUCCACAAUGAAGAAGUCUGAGGUAGUCAUGGACAUGAAGAAAUUUGAUUGCUAUCGUGUCACUGUUUCUUCAUCGUCGGGAAGAUCGGUCACAAACAAUGCUACUGAUAAUUUUAUCGAUGGCGUCAGCAAACAAAUCAUCGGUUUCCAGCAACACAAGACGGAGAUCAAUGAUCUCAAGAGGCAGAAUAAGGAGCUGUCGAAGCAGAACAAGGAGCUGAUGGAUCAGUACCAAGAGCUGCCUUCUCUUCGAAAAAAGUAUGAAGAUCUGACCAAGAAGUAUGAAAAUCUGACCAAAAAACGGAACGAAGAUCUGGCCAAGCUCAAGAAGGAGAAGGAAGAUAUGGAGAAGGAGAUACGAGGGCUUCGGGAGAGGAUCAAAGAGCUAGAGGAACAGGUAAUUAGUUCUUCUUCGUCAGGAAAAUCGUUAACAAACAAUGCUGCUGAAAACAUAAUGGAAGGCAUCAACAAACAAAUCCUUGGAGCUGAGCAGUACAAGAUGGAGAAUAGAGAUCUUAAGAGGCAAAACAAAGAGCUGUCGAAGCAAAACAAGGAGCUGAUGGAGCAGAGCAAAGAGCUGAUGGAGCUGCCUGCUCUUCGAAAAAAGCACGAAGAACUGACCAAGAGGUAUGAGAGCCUGACUAAGAAGCGAAACGAAGAUCUGGCCAAGCUCAGGAAGGAGAAGGAAGAUCAGCAGGUCGAUUUCAAGAAAGAGAAAGAAGAUCUGGAGAGGGAGAUACGACAACUUAAGGAGGAGAUCAAACAGCUAGAGUGUUGUUGUGUCAUACUAUGA
RNAcentral lists this long non-coding RNA (1689 nucleotides) under Oryza sativa Indica Group (long-grained rice). Its description in RNAcentral is "lncRNA OsMH63_04G002110". The record is from RNAcentral. Lineage: Eukaryota; Viridiplantae; Streptophyta; Magnoliopsida; Poales; Poaceae.